Molecule: long non-coding RNA, 614 nt
Filed under: Rattus norvegicus (Norway rat)
Lineage: Eukaryota; Metazoa; Chordata; Mammalia; Rodentia; Muridae
Description: long non-coding RNA NONRATT015614
Source: RNAcentral
ACCUUCAGGGAAGCCAGGUAGCUGAGGAACCCCAGAGACACACAUGAAACGAGGUGACGGCCAUAUCACACCACCAUCAGUAAACCCGGCAAGGCCCAGGCUGAGCACCAGCACGCACACAAGGCCGUUGUUGAUCUUUCCAGAAUCUCUUGCAGGACCAUGCUCCCUUCUUAGGUCACUGCAGUGGUGUAGCUGCAUGGAGGAGAAGCCAAUGUCCCCCUGGUUCAAGACAGGGACACAGAACCCAUUAAGAGCUCUCUGCAGGGUCUUGAAAGGACCUCCCUUUCCUUGUGUCCCAUUGUUGGACCCUGGCCUUCCUCUACCAGGAGUCAUAUGGAUACAACUAGGGGUGAUCUCAAAAUAACGCUGUGGGGCUGGGAAGAUGGCUCAGUGAGCUAAGGCACCUGCUACUAAUCUUGACAACCUGAGUUCCGUCCCUGGGACCUACGUGGUAGGAGAGAACCAGUUCCUGCAAGUGUCCUUUUGUUACCAAACUUGGGGUCACUAUUUAUACUAUACGAAAUCAAAGUUCAGCCACCUGUCCCCAAGAAGCCACCUGUGCACUUUAGCAUGCAUGUGCUCUAUCCCUCAAUAAAAUGCAUUUUAAAACCUUG